RNAcentral lists this ribosomal RNA (467 nucleotides) under uncultured bacterium. RNAcentral's name for it is "partial 16S ribosomal RNA". It matches the Rfam family "Bacterial small subunit ribosomal RNA", at positions 28 to 506 of the family's 1533-position model. The record is from RNAcentral.
GACGAACGCUGGCGGCGUGCUUAACACAUGCAAGUCGAACGGAAAGGCCCUGCUUUUGUGGGGUGCUCGAGUGGCGAACGGGUGAGUAACACGUGAGUAACCUGCCCUUGACUUUGGGAUAACUUCAGGAAACUGGGGCUAAUACCGGAUAGGAGCUCCUGCUGCAUGGUGGGGGUUGGAAAGUUUCGGCGGUUGGGGAUGGACUCGCGGCUUAUCAGCUUGUUGGUGGGGUAGUGGCUUACCAAGGCUUUGACGGGUAGCCGGCCUGAGAGGGUGACCGGCCACAUGGGGACUGGGAUACGGCCCGGACUCCUACGGGGGGCAGCAGUGGGGAAUAUGGCACAAUGGGCGGAAGCCUGAUGCAGCAACGCCGCGUGCGGGAUGACGGCCUUCGGGUUGUAAACCGCUUUCGCCUGUGACGAAGCGUGAGUGACGGUAAUGGGUAAAGAAGCACCGGCUAACUACGU